Molecule: ribosomal RNA, 253 nt
Filed under: uncultured bacterium
Lineage: Bacteria
Description: partial 16S ribosomal RNA
Rfam family: Bacterial small subunit ribosomal RNA
Source: RNAcentral
UACGUAGGGUGCAAGCGUUGUCCGGAAUUAUUGGGCGUAAAGAGCUCAUAGGCGGCUUGUCGCGUCGGCUGUGAAAACCUGGGGCUCAACCCCGGGCCUGCAGCCGAUACGGGCAAGCUAGAAUUCGGUAGGGGAGACUGGAAUUCCUGGUGUAGCGGUGAAAUGCGCAGAUAUCAGGAGGAACACCGGUGGCGAAGGCGGGUCUCUGGGCAGUAACUGACGCUGAGAAGCGAAAGCGUGGGGAGCGAACAGG